GCAGAACGUCAAACAAGGCAACUGAAGAAUCUCCACACCCAUGGUCCAACACACCUGUCAGGGGAUCUGUAGGACCAGACCUCUUUCAUCAGUCAAUCUCAGAUCAUCAGUAUGCCCAUGACCCGGUGAAAGCAAAAGAGAAGUUGGCUGUGUAUCAGGAGAACGUGGAGAAGUUACGACGGGACUUGAGAAAUGCGAAAGACAGGGAAAGAAGACAGUGAGCUCCUUGUUGGUGCAUUUAAAAAAAGAACAAGAUGCUAACAGAGGAACUGGAGCAAAAGCUGGAUUUCUACUCUGACCUUCCAGUUGAACUGUUCAAGCACGACCAUGCCUUCACUCCUGCUCAACAGGAAUUUGCUUUAACGUUGCAUUUGCAUGGACCUAAAGCCUAAACUUACUUGAAGGAAACCAUGAAGAUACCACUCCCACAUCCUCACACUCUUCUAAAAUGGUUGCAGACUGUGGACGCUAAGCCUGGGUUAAACACAUGGCUCUUAGACAUGCUACAGAGACGGAAAAACGAAG
Long non-coding RNA from Dicentrarchus labrax (European seabass), 525 nucleotides. RefSeq lists it as uncharacterized. The record is from RefSeq and is a predicted model, not a curated record. NCBI's taxonomy places the organism in Eukaryota, Metazoa, Chordata, Actinopteri, Moronidae. The transcript is spliced from 4 exons.